UUUUGUAUAAUGGGUCAGCGACUUAUAUUCUGUAGCAAGGUUAACCGAAUAGGGGAGCCGAAGGGAAACCGAGUCUUAACUGGGCGUUAAGUUGCAGGGUAUAGACCCGAAACCCGGUGAUCUAGCCAUGGGCAGGUUGAAGGUUGGGUAACACUAACUGGAGGACCGAACCGACUAAUGUUGAAAAAUUAGCGGAUGACUUGUGGCUGGGGGUGAAAGGCCAAUCAAACCGGGAGAUAGCUGGUUCUCCCCGAAAGCUAUUUAGGUAGCGCCUCGUGAAUUCAUCUCCGGGGGUAGAGCACUGUUUCGGCAAGGGGGUCAUCCCGACUUACCAACCCGAUGCAAACUGCGAAUACCGGAGAAUGUUAUCACGGGAGACACACGGCGGGUGCUAACGUCCGUCGUGAAGAGGGAAACAACCCAGACCGCCAGCUAAGGUCCCAAAGUCAUGGUUAAGUGGGAAACGAUGUGGGAAGGCCCAGACAGCCAGGAUGUUGGCUUAGAAGCAGCCAUCAUUUAAAGAAAGCGUAAUAGCUCACUGGUCGAGUCGGCCUGCGCGGAAGAUGUAACGGGGCUAAACCAUGCACCGAAGCUGCGGCAGCGACGCUUAUGCGUUGUUGGGUAGGGGAGCGUUCUGUAAGCCUGUGAAGGUGUACUGUGAGGUAUGCUGGAGGUAUCAGAAGUGCGAAUGCUGACAUAAGUAACGAUAAAGCGGGUGAAAAGCCCGC
RNAcentral lists this ribosomal RNA (728 nucleotides) under Escherichia coli. RNAcentral describes it as "partial 23S ribosomal RNA". It matches the Rfam family "Bacterial large subunit ribosomal RNA", at positions 606 to 1333 of the family's 2925-position model. The record is from RNAcentral. Lineage: Bacteria; Pseudomonadati; Pseudomonadota; Gammaproteobacteria; Enterobacterales; Enterobacteriaceae.